AGACCCGAAACCCGGUGAUCUAGCCAUGGGCAGGUUGAAGGUUGGGUAACACUAACUGGAGGACCGAACCGACUAAUGUUGAAAAAUUAGCGGAUGACCUGUGGCUGGGGGUGAAAGGCCAAUCAAACCGGGAGAUAGCUGGUUCUCCCCGAAAGCUAUUUAGGUAGCGCCUCGUGAAUUCAUCUCCGGGGGUAGAGCACUGUUUCGGCUAGGGGGCCAUCCCGGCUUACCAACCCGAUGCAAACUGCGAAUACCGGAGAAUGUUAUCACGGGAGACACACGGCGGGUGCUAACGUCCGUCGUGAAGAGGGAAACAACCCAGACCGCCAGCUAAGGUCCCAAAGUCAUGGUUAAGUGGGAAACGAUGUGGGAAGGCCCAGACAGCCAGGAUGUUGGCUUAGAAGCAGCCAUCAUUUAAAGAAAGCGUAAUAGCUCACUGGUCGAGUCGGCCUGCGCGGAAGAUGUAACGGGGCUAAACCAUGCACCGAAGCUGCGGCAGCGACACUGUGUGUUGUUGGGUAGGGGAGCGUUCUGUAAGCCUGUGAAGGUGGCCUGUGAGGGUUGCUGGAGGUAUCAGAAGUGCGAAUGCUGACAUAAGUAACGAUAAAGCGGGUGAAAAGCCCGCUCGCCGGAAGACCAAGGGUUCCUGUCCAACGUUAAUCGGGGCAGGGUGAGUCGACCCCUAAGGCGAGGCCGAAAGGCGUAGUCGAUGGGAAACGGGUUAAUAUUCCCGUACUUGGUGUUACUGCGAAGGGGGGACGGAGAAGGCUAUGUUGGCCGGGCGACGGUUGUCCCGGUUUAAGCGUGUAGGUGUGUGUUCCAGGUAAAUCCGGUUCACUUUAACACUGAGGCGUGACGACGAGGCACUACGGUGCUGAAGCAACAAAUGCCCUGCUUCCAGGAAAAGCCUCUAAGCAUCAGGUAACAUCAAAUCGUACCCCAAACCGACACAGGUGGUCAGGUAGAGAAUACCAAGGCGCUUGAGAGAACUCGGGUGAAGGAACUAGGCAAAAUGGUGCCGUAACUUCGGGAGAAGGCACGCUGACACGUAGGUGAAGUGAUUUACUCAUGGAGCUGAAGUCAGUCGAAGAUACCAGCUGGCUGCAACUGUUUAUUAAAAACACAGCACUGUGCAAACACGAAAGUGGACGUAUACGGUGUGACGCCUGCCCGGUGCCGGAAGGUUAAUUGAUGGGGUCAGCGCAAGCGAAGCUCCUGAUCGAAGCCCCGGUAAACGGCGGCCGUAACUAUAACGGUCCUAAGGUAGCGAAAUUCCUUGUCGGGUAAGUUCCGACCUGCACGAAUGGCGUAAUGAUGGCCAGGCUGUCUCCACCCGAGACUCAGUGAAAUUGAACUCGCUGUGAAGAUGCAGUGUACCCGCGGCAAGACGGAAAGACCCCGUGAACCUUUACUAUAGCUUGACACUGAACAUUGAGCCUUGAUGUGUAGGAUAGGUGGGAGGCUUUGAAGUGUGGACGCCAGUCUGCAUGGAGCCGACCUUGAAAUACCACCCUUUAAUGUUUGAUGUUCUAACGUGGACCCGUAAUCCGGGUUGCGGACAGUGUCUGGUGGGUAGUUUGACUGGGGCGGUCUCCUCC
RNAcentral lists this ribosomal RNA (1598 nucleotides) under Salmonella enterica subsp. enterica serovar Virchow. Its description in RNAcentral is "partial 23S ribosomal RNA". It matches the Rfam family "Bacterial large subunit ribosomal RNA", at positions 711 to 2290 of the family's 2925-position model. Lineage: Bacteria; Pseudomonadati; Pseudomonadota; Gammaproteobacteria; Enterobacterales; Enterobacteriaceae. The record is from RNAcentral.